Molecule: RNA transcript, 1639 nt
Organism: Cucumis melo (muskmelon)
Lineage: Eukaryota; Viridiplantae; Streptophyta; Magnoliopsida; Cucurbitales; Cucurbitaceae
Gene name: monodehydroascorbate reductase 5, chlorplastic-like
Exons: 6
Source: RefSeq, a predicted model, not a curated record
UCCAUCUCCCUGAACUAAAAAACCCUUCAUUCCCCUUUCCUUCUUCAAUUGCAAAAACGAUUUCCCCUUUCCUUCUUCAAACGCAAAAGUCAUCCAACAUUUGCUUUACUUCCUUAAAUUUUCAUCCCUCUGACAACUCAACCCCUUCCUUUCUAAGCUUUUUCCCUCUCUCUUCAGAGACACAUCUGCCAUUUACGGUUCUAUCGUCACCACCACCAACGACGUUUGGGUUAUCGAUGAUCUUCCUGUCAACCCGUCAUUUCAGAAGCUUCUCGAAACUCUCUACCAUGAAAAACUCAACCUCGUUGAUUUUGUGAACAAGUUCGUAGAUUCAUCAUGGCGGCAGCAUCAAACUCUCUCCCCCUAAAAAAUGAUCUGUCUCUCUGGUGUCCGAACUGUACUUCCUUUUUCGUACAUCAUCAACGGCCUUCUUCUGUUGCCUUCAGACGUUUCCAAAGAAGCUACGUUUCUACCUCCACGGAUUGCCAACGACAAUAAAGAGUUUGAGAUUGUUGGUGGUGGAAAUGCUACUGGUUAUGCUACUGGUACUUUUGUUGAACAGGGGAUGGCAGAUGGACGGCUUUCUAUAGUAUCUAAGGAAAUGAUUUAGUUUUAUAAUUUUAUGUUAGUAUAAAUUCUAUAAUUUAGAUGAUAAUGGUAUUCAAUUCGAUUAUUUUACCUAUUUCUUAUCUUUUUGGGACUGAUUCUAUUGCAUUCCAAGCGUUUGCACCGUACGAGCGUUCGACUUUGACAAAAGGGGUUUCAUACAUGUGUUGGAUCUGGUUGGGAAAGGCAACACCAGAAUGGUACAAGGAUAAAGGUAUUAAGGCAAACUACUCAAGUAUGGAGCCCUUUUAAUAGAAAUAGGAUGUACAACUUGAAGAUUUCCCGAUAAGAUCGGUGGUGGGCUACCUGGUGUUCACUACAUCCGAGAUGUUGCAGAUGCAGAUUCACUAAUUUCCUCAUUAGUAAUACACACUGCUAGCUUGUGUAAAUUUUUCUCUUUGGAAUCUACAUUUUACUUUUUGCAACUCCAAUUGACUUCCAUUUCCCUUCUAGGAGAAAGCAAAAAAGGUGGUGCUUGUUGGUGGUGGUUAUAUUAGUAUGGAGAUCGUUGCUACCCUUCGAAUGGUUAAAAGCGGAGUGUAUGUGAAUGUGUUGUGUUAUGUAUGUGUUGUGUAUGUGAAUGUGCUAUGUUGUUGAAGUGAAUGUGUUGUGUUGUUGAAGUGAAUCUAUGUAUGUGAAUGUGUUGUUGAUGUGAAUGUGCUGUGUUGUUCAAGUGAAUCUGUGUAUGUGUUGUAGUUAAAUGAACUGAAUGUAACUAAAUGUAAACCAUUCUUAUAUUCUUAUCUUGAUGUGUAGAGAGUCAUAACCUAAAAUUUCAUUUUGUUUUUUUACUAGGUUUUGCAAGAAUCCAUUGGAGCAAUGAAGCCAUAUUUGCGCAAUUGAUUGAUUUAUAUGCCUUUUUGUAGGUUUGGUAACAAAAUUUUGGUUUAAAGGUACUUAUUUAAAUAACUUAUUGGCACCAAAAUAUGUAUGUUCAUUCUAUCAUUGUACAAACCAUUUACAACGGUUGUGCAGAUAUUACAAAGUAUAUGUUAACGUACAUAUAUUAAAGUGUUUACUAUUUGUUUCCAUA